Molecule: long non-coding RNA, 215 nt
Filed under: Elaeis guineensis (African oil palm)
Lineage: Eukaryota; Viridiplantae; Streptophyta; Magnoliopsida; Arecales; Arecaceae
Description: long non-coding RNA (EGUI_LNC002878)
Source: RNAcentral
CCAUGGAGGAUUUCCAACCUCGUUGAGGAGUCAUUCGUGAAAGAAGACUCCUUACGGGAGUCUUCUUCAAAUUUAUUUAUUUUUUUUCCAUUUUUGCUACUUCAAGAAUCAUGCUUUGGUGUGGGGUGUUACAGUAUCACCCUUACCUUUCAAAUAACUGGUGAUGACUUUAUCAAUGAUCCGAGAUCGAACUGGUGAUGACUUCAUCAAUGAUC